Molecule: ribosomal RNA, 301 nt
Filed under: uncultured bacterium
Lineage: Bacteria
Description: partial 16S ribosomal RNA
Rfam family: Bacterial small subunit ribosomal RNA
Source: RNAcentral
CAGCCGCCGCGGUAAUACGAAGGGUGCAAGCGUUAAUCGGAAUUACUGGGCGUAAAGCGUGCGUAGGCGGUGAGUUAAGUCUGCUGUGAAAUCCCCGGGCUCAACCUGGGAAUGGCAGUGGAUACUGGCUCGCUAGAGUGUGUCAGAGGAUGGUGGAAUUCCCGGUGUAGCGGUGAAAUGCGUAGAGAUCGGGAGGAACAUCAGUGGCGAAGGCGGCCAUCUGGGACAACACUGACGCUGAGGCACGAAAGCGUGGGGAGCAAACAGGAUUAGAUACCCCGGUAGUCCCUGUCUCUUAUAA